AAGAAACCGAGGCAUGCGAGAGGAUUGGUUUCAUAUUCUUCCAACAAACAUCUAACCGGGAACCCGGGAUCGUACGUGAAUUGUAGGCUCGUAAGCGAGAAACGUGCAGCGUAGGUAUGGGUACCCACCUUGCCUUUUGGGUUAGAUCCUGGCCAAUCUGAACGGUGUCGUUAGUUCUUCC
This 181-nucleotide non-coding RNA is filed under the name Pediococcus acidilactici. Its description in RNAcentral is "6S RNA". It matches the Rfam family "6S / SsrS RNA". Rfam says of the family: E. coli 6S RNA was the first non coding RNA to be sequenced, but its function was unknown until recently. Lineage: Bacteria; Bacillati; Bacillota; Bacilli; Lactobacillales; Lactobacillaceae. The record is from RNAcentral.